Molecule: ribosomal RNA, 165 nt
Filed under: uncultured bacterium
Lineage: Bacteria
Description: partial 16S ribosomal RNA
Rfam family: Bacterial small subunit ribosomal RNA
Source: RNAcentral
UAGGGAAGUCUUCCACAAUGGACGAAAGCCUGAUGGAGCAACGCCGCGUGUGUGAUGAAGGGUUUCGGCUCGUAAAACACUGUUGUAAGAGAAGAAUGACAUUGAGAGUAACUGUUCAAUGUGUGACGGUAUCUUACCAGAAAGGAACGGCUAAAUACGUGUCAG